RNAcentral lists this unclassified non-coding RNA (285 nucleotides) under Hevea brasiliensis (rubber tree). Lineage: Eukaryota; Viridiplantae; Streptophyta; Magnoliopsida; Malpighiales; Euphorbiaceae. The record is from RNAcentral.
GAAUUACCUCCAUACUCCUCCAGAGUCUAAUCGGCCCACUCAUCGGAACAAGUCAGUCACUUCUCCUUUGUGACCUGUAGAAUCCCAUCUCACUCCGUUUCCAUUUCAAUUCCCUAUCUUUACAGGUAACCUUCCGCUAUGUUCAACUUCUGAUAGAAAGAAAGAUCUCUCUCUGUAAAGGUUUAAAAGUUUUAGUUUUUUGAAUUAUGGGUACUGAUUCGGCUUUGAAUUCCACAAAUCCUACACAAAGACCUACUCAAGAAGAAGACUCACAUAACUCAUCCA